This 446-nucleotide ribosomal RNA is filed under the name uncultured bacterium. RNAcentral describes it as "partial 16S ribosomal RNA". It matches the Rfam family "Bacterial small subunit ribosomal RNA", at positions 338 to 795 of the family's 1533-position model. The record is from RNAcentral.
CCUACGGGGUGCUGCAGUCGAGAAUCAUUCACAAUGGGGGAAACCCUGAUGGUGCGACGCCGCGUGGGGGAAUGAAGGUCUUCGGAUUGUAAACCCCUGUCAUGUGGGAGCAAAUUAAAAAGAUAGUACCACAAGAGGAAGAGACGGCUAACUCUGUGCCAGCAGCCGCGGUAAUACAGAGGUCUCAAGCGUUGUUCGGAAUCACUGGGCGUAAAGCGUGCGUAGGCUGUUUCGUGAGUCGUGUGUGAAAGGCGCGGGCUCAACCCGCGGACGGCACAUGAUACUGCGAGACUAGAGUAAGGGAGGGGGAACCGGAAUUCUCGGUGUGGCAGUGAAAUGCGUAGAUAUCGAGAGGAACACUCGUGGCGAAGGCGGGUUCCUGGACAUUAACUGACGCUGAGGCACGAAGGCCAGGGGAGCGAAAGGGAUUAGAUACCCUGGUAGUC